UAGGGAUAUUGCUAGGAAGAC
This 21-nucleotide non-coding RNA is filed under the name Caenorhabditis elegans. The record is from RNAcentral. Lineage: Eukaryota; Metazoa; Nematoda; Chromadorea; Rhabditida; Rhabditidae.